Molecule: ribosomal RNA, 652 nt
Filed under: uncultured Dinobryon
Lineage: Eukaryota; Chrysophyceae; Chromulinales
Description: partial Bacterial large subunit ribosomal RNA
Rfam family: Bacterial large subunit ribosomal RNA
Source: RNAcentral
CCGCGGCCCGUUAUCCGGGUCCGGGACAUGGCGUGGCGGGCAGUUUGACUGGGGCGGUCGCCUCCCAAAGAGUAACGGAGGCGCGCGAUGGUGGGCUCAGAACGGUCGGAAAUCGUUCGCUGAGUGCAAUGGCAUAAGCCUGCCUGACUGCGAGACUGACAAGUCGAGCAGAGACGAAAGUCGGCCAUAGUGAUCCGGUGGUCCUGCGUGGAAGGGCCAUCGCUCAACGAAUAAAAGGUACUCUAGGGAUAACAGGCUGAUUUUGCCCAAGAGUCCAUAUCGACGGCAAAGUUUGGCACCUCGAUGUCGGCUCAUCACAUCCUGGGGCUGAAGCAGGUCCCAAGGGUUUGGCUGUUCGCCAAUUAAAGUGGUACGUGAGCUGGGUUUAAAACGUCGUGAGACAGUUUGGUCCCUAUCUGCCGUGGGCGUUGGAAAUUUGAAGGGGGCUGCUCCUAGUACGAGAGGACCGGAGUGGACGAACCUCUGGUGUACCGGUUGUCACGCCAGUGGCAUUGCCGGGUAGCUAAGUCUGGAAGAGAUAACCGCUGAAAGCAUCUAAGCGGGAAACUUGCCUUGAGAUGAGAUUUCCCAGAGCCUUGAGCUCUUUAAAGGGUCGUUCGAGACCAGGACGUUGAUAGGUCAGGUGUGGAAG